Molecule: ribosomal RNA, 503 nt
Filed under: Plectosphaerella cucumerina
Lineage: Eukaryota; Fungi; Ascomycota; Sordariomycetes; Glomerellales; Plectosphaerellaceae
Description: SSU rRNA
Rfam family: Eukaryotic small subunit ribosomal RNA
Source: RNAcentral
GUGGUAAUUCUAGAGCUAAUACAUGCUGAAAAUCCCGACUUCGGAAGGGAUGUAUUUAUUAGAUACAAAACCAAUGCCCUUCGGGGCUCUCUUGGUGAUUCAUGAUAACUUCUCGAAUCGCACGGCCCCGCGCCGGCGAUGGUUCAUUCAAAUUUCUUCCCUAUCAACUUUCGAUGCUACGGUAUUGUCCUAGCAUGGUUGCAACGGGUGACGGAGGGUUAGGGCUCGACCCCGGAGAAGGAGCCUGAGAAACGGCUACUACAUCCAAGGAAGGCAGCAGGCGCGCAAAUUACCCAAUCCCGACUCGGGGAGGUAGUGACGAUAAAUACCGAUACAGGGCUCUWUUGGGWCCUGUAAUUGGAAUGAGUACAAUUCAAAUMCCUUAACGAGGAACAAUUGGAGGGCAAGUCUUGUGCCAGCAGCCGCGRUUAWUUCARAUYCAAUAGCGUAUAUUAAAGUUGUUGUGGUUAAAACRCUCGUAGUAGAAGCUCGGGCUSCSACCG